UACGUAGGGUGCAAGCGUUGUCCGGAAUUAUUGGGCGUAAAGAGCUCGUAGGCGGUCUGUCGCGUCGAAUGUGAAAACCCGGGGCUCAACCCCGGGCCUGCAUUCGAUACGGGCAGACUAGAGUUCGGUAGGGGAGUCUGGAAUUCCUGGUGUAGCGGUGAAAUGCGCAGAUAUCAGGAGGAACACCGAUGGCGAAGGCACUUUACUGGGCUAUUACUAACACUCAGAGACGAAAGCUAGGGUAGCAAAUGGG
This 253-nucleotide ribosomal RNA is filed under the name uncultured bacterium. RNAcentral's name for it is "partial 16S ribosomal RNA". It matches the Rfam family "Bacterial small subunit ribosomal RNA", at positions 524 to 776 of the family's 1533-position model. The record is from RNAcentral.